Bombyx mori (domestic silkworm) is the source of this 1604-nucleotide long non-coding RNA. RefSeq lists it as uncharacterized. The record is from RefSeq and is a predicted model, not a curated record. The transcript has 2 exons. Lineage: Eukaryota; Metazoa; Arthropoda; Insecta; Lepidoptera; Bombycidae.
AAUAGUUCUUAAACUGAAUGUAUACAUUGCUUACUUUGGGUCAUUCGAUAAUGGCCACGAGUGGUCGCGAAUACAUUAAAACACAAAUGCUAUCGCGUUUGGCAAGAGAGAAUUUAGAAUCUUCGUUGAAUUGCUAGGAAUUACGGCCAAAUCUGAUGGCGGAACCCUUCCGUGACACGUCUUGAAUCUACCACUGGAUCGAAAACGCGACCCACUGAGAAGAUCGGCGAGAAACUCAGUAGGCUAGUUUUUCAUCGAUUUUGAGACGUCCAAACUUCACUCUAAUAUCAUAACCAAUUUCACCAGGAUGGACAAAUGAGAUGAAAUUAAUGUAAGAUAAAACUAAUUAAUAAGAUGAAAUCAAUUGUUACUUCGGUUUACUAUUUUAUUUAAGUGGUUGUUUUUUAAGUUUUUAAACAACGCGUAUUAAUGUUCAUCUGCACUACAUAUCGUCGCACUGCUACUGUUAUACUUUAAAAUGUUGUCUGUGAAAACUUAUAUAGUACUAGCUGACCCGGCAAACAUUGUUUUGCCAUAUAUAAGAUUUCUAGGGAAUUUCUAGUGUACAAAAAAAACCUAACUUAUUGUAAGUGUGUAAGGAUGUGGUAAAUGAGUGAAAGAGGUAUGUAGUGCUGUGAACGAUGAGGGAGUAUAUAAUAAAAAUAACAAAACCUCAGUCAACCACAUAAUACCUUAUUAUAACAAAAAAAAAGUCCAAAUAAAAAAAAAUUUUUACGGGUGGACAACCCUAAUCACUUAGGGGGAUGAAAAAUAGAUAGUAGCCGAUUCUCAGGCUUACUGAAUAUGCAUAAAAAAUUUCAUGAGAAUCGGUCAAACGGUUUCGGAGGAGUAUGGGAACGAACAUUAAGACACGAGAAUUUUAUAUAUUAGAUUUAUAUGAUUAGGUAUCUAUGUUUGUAUUUUAUUUGUAAUUUGGAAACUUUUUGGCGGGAACGCGAGGACUGAAGUUGUGUGAUUUGUUUUAUUUUGUCUCUUUAGUGUUUCUUCAGGUUUAAAUGUGUAAUAAUGGUGGUUUAUUAACUUUUUAGUAUCAGUGAAAGUUCACAAAUGUGGGAAAAUAAAACAAAGCCGCUGGACGUAACUUCUCGGGCUCCUACAAAAAGCCCACUGAAAAAGUCUCAGUAAAUGACCACCAUUUACUGAGAUUAUAUUUCAUCCCAUAUCAUCUCAUCUCAUUUCAUUUAAUUUCAUCCCAGUUGAUUAAUGUCUCAAAUUAAUCAUCUUCAUUUCAUUUCAUUUCACUCCAUAUUAUCAUUUUUCAUAAAAAUAAGAAUAUAAAUUAAAAUAAGAUAUGACUUAAAGGUCUUAGUUACCAGGUCAUAAAAUCUCUUAAAAAAAUUUGUAAUUUGGAACUAUUCCCUGUUUUCCUAAAUUGAUAAAAGAAAAUAUAUUAAGUUUACUUUAAUAACUAUUAUCGCCCAAUAUUAGAUUGGUUCAUUUCGUAAUUUUCGUUAAACCAAUUGAAAAUCUUCAAUCGGAAGUAUUCAUAUCAUCGAUGAAAUGAUUUUAUGAAACGAAGUAAUUCUAAUAAAUUAUCUAUAAUCUAAUUUGUGUUAAAAUUAAAUUCUACUGCAUUGUGAUAA